UACAGAGGUCUCAAGCGUUGUUCGGAUUCAUUGGGCGUAAAGGGUGCGUAGGCGGCGCGGUAAGUCGGGUGUGAAAUCUCAGAGCUCAACUCCGAAAUUGCACUGGAUACUGCUCUGCUUGAGGGUUGGAGAGGAGAUCGGAAUUCACGGUGUAGCAGUGAAAUGCGUAGAUAUCGUGAGGAAGACCAGUGGCGAAGGCGGAUCUCUGGACAAAUCCUGACGCUGAGGCGCGAAGGCUAGGGGAGCAAACGGG
This 253-nucleotide ribosomal RNA is filed under the name uncultured bacterium. RNAcentral's name for it is "partial 16S ribosomal RNA". It matches the Rfam family "Bacterial small subunit ribosomal RNA", at positions 524 to 776 of the family's 1533-position model. The record is from RNAcentral.